CCUACGGGUGGCAGCAGUGAGGCAUAUUGGUCAAUGGACGAGAGUCUGAACCAGCCAAGUAGCGUGAAGGAUGACUGCCCUAUGGGUUGUAAACUUCUUUUAUAUGGGAAUAAAAUGUUCCACGUGUGGGAUUUUGUAUGUACCAUAUGAAUAAGGAUCGGCUAACUCCGUGCCAGCAGCCGCGGUAAUACGGAGGAUCCGAGCGUUAUCCGGAUUUAUUGGGUUUAAAGGGAGCGUAGGUGGAUUGUUAAGUCAGUUGUGAAAGUUUGCGGCUCAACCGUAAAAUUGCAGUUGAAACUGGCAGUCUUGAGUACAGUAGAGGUGGGCGGAAUUCGUGGUGUAGCGGUGAAAUGCUUAGAUAUCACGAAGAACUCCGAUUGCGAAGGCAGUUCACUGGACUGCAACUGACACUGAGGCUCGAAAGUGUGGGUAUCAAACAGGAUUAGAUACCCUUGUAGUC
This 460-nucleotide ribosomal RNA is filed under the name uncultured bacterium. Its description in RNAcentral is "partial 16S ribosomal RNA". It matches the Rfam family "Bacterial small subunit ribosomal RNA", at positions 338 to 795 of the family's 1533-position model. The record is from RNAcentral.